GACGAACGCUGGCGGCGUGCCUAAUACAUGCAAGUCGAACGAGAGCGACCGGUGCUUGCACUGGUCAAUCUAGUGGCGAACGGGUGAGUAACACGUGGGUAACCUGCUCAUCAGAGGGGGAUAACAUCCGGAAACGGAUGCUAAAACCGCAUAGGUCUUCGAGCCGCAUGGCUUGAAGAGGAAAAGAGGCGCAAGCUUCUGCUGAUGGAUGGACCCGCGGUGCAUUAGCUAGUUGGUGAGGUAACGGCUCACCAAGGCCGUGAUGCAUAGCCGACCGGAGAGGGUGAUCGGCCACAUUGGGACUGAGACACGGCCCAAACUCCUACGGGAGGCAGCAGUAGGGAAUCUUCCGCAAUGGACGCAAGUCUGACGGAGCAACGCCGCGUGAGUGAAGAAGGUUUUCGGAUCGUAAAACUCUGUUGUUAGAGAAGAACAAGUGCUAGAGUAACUGUUAGCGCCUUGACGGUAUCUAACCAGAAAGCCACGGCUAACUACGUG
This 498-nucleotide ribosomal RNA is filed under the name uncultured bacterium. Its description in RNAcentral is "partial 16S ribosomal RNA". It matches the Rfam family "Bacterial small subunit ribosomal RNA", at positions 28 to 507 of the family's 1533-position model. The record is from RNAcentral.